This 555-nucleotide ribosomal RNA is filed under the name Enterobacter hormaechei. Its description in RNAcentral is "bacterial SSU rRNA". It matches the Rfam family "Bacterial small subunit ribosomal RNA", at positions 978 to 1533 of the family's 1533-position model. Lineage: Bacteria; Pseudomonadati; Pseudomonadota; Gammaproteobacteria; Enterobacterales; Enterobacteriaceae. The record is from RNAcentral.
CUCUUGACAUCCAGAGAACUUAGCAGAGAUGCUUUGGUGCCUUCGGGAACUCUGAGACAGGUGCUGCAUGGCUGUCGUCAGCUCGUGUUGUGAAAUGUUGGGUUAAGUCCCGCAACGAGCGCAACCCUUAUCCUUUGUUGCCAGCGGUUAGGCCGGGAACUCAAAGGAGACUGCCAGUGAUAAACUGGAGGAAGGUGGGGAUGACGUCAAGUCAUCAUGGCCCUUACGAGUAGGGCUACACACGUGCUACAAUGGCGCAUACAAAGAGAAGCGACCUCGCGAGAGCAAGCGGACCUCAUAAAGUGCGUCGUAGUCCGGAUUGGAGUCUGCAACUCGACUCCAUGAAGUCGGAAUCGCUAGUAAUCGUGGAUCAGAAUGCCACGGUGAAUACGUUCCCGGGCCUUGUACACACCGCCCGUCACACCAUGGGAGUGGGUUGCAAAAGAAGUAGGUAGCUUAACCUUCGGGAGGGCGCUUACCACUUUGUGAUUCAUGACUGGGGUGAAGUCGUAACAAGGUAACCGUAGGGGAACCUGCGGUUGGAUCACCUCCUUA